RNAcentral lists this long non-coding RNA (1443 nucleotides) under Mus musculus (house mouse). RNAcentral describes it as "RIKEN cDNA B130024G19 gene". Lineage: Eukaryota; Metazoa; Chordata; Mammalia; Rodentia; Muridae. The record is from RNAcentral.
AGAAUUGCUUCUAAAGUCAGCCCGGCGCAGUUGCAAUAGACAGCAAAAAGGUAAACGUUUGCCUGAAAUCCGCACGCCAGCUUCACCACCCCGCCCGAUGGUUCUGUAACAAUCAAGAACACGUGGACACCUACCUGUGGGAGGAGGCUUGGGGGAAACACUGUUUCUGGUUGCUGCUGAAGCCAGCAUUCUGGAGAUGGACAGCUGCUCAAGGAAAUGAAGGGAGAUUUUGUAAAUUGCAGAUUCUAAGCAGGAAGACUCAACCAAGAAUACAUGCUUAGAAGAAAACUGUUUCAAGCAUCCCCAUUUACGUGGAUGUAUCUGCACAGUCCUCCCUUUCCACAAACACCAACACUGAAGCCCCGAUGCUGGGAGGCUCUGAAUUAAGACCCUGGAGAAGAACUGCCAAGGGGAUUUACUUUUAAGGAAGCCCAUGAUCCUAUAAGAGUGAUCAUCAGUGUAAAUCAAAUCAAACGACUUGGAUGCUCUCUCCGGCUCUCAAUCUCCAACACCCAGAAGAGGUGUCAUAUGGCGGUUUUUUCCUCUGCACCACAUCUUCCAACUAUGAUGUCUAUCAUCAAAAAGUCCAGAGCAAUGAGACAGAUACCACCAUAACUGACUGGUCCUGUUUGCUCCAUCUUAACAUUGUUGGUUAACAGUGGACUCUGACUUUCAUGAGGAUGACUGGACAUCCACUGGGACUCCAGGAGGCUGCCCUUCGCUGCUUUGACUUUGUUCUGUCAGACUUGAUAAGAUUUUGACUUCCUGUUAAAACCUGCCAUCGGGUGUUCAGCAGGAGAGUGAGAGAGUGUCAAGCACACUGUACCAGCAUCAGAGGCUGAGCCUGCCAGCAGAGCUGACUCUGAUGGACACGUGCUUCCUAGGGCUCCUGAUGCAGCUGCUAUCUGCAGACCUCCUGGACUGCCCGGGGAAGGGAGUGGGAGCUCCUGCCACAGAUGGGUGGAACAUCGACAAGAAGGGCUAAAGGUGGCCAAAAAUAACAGUGCCUUCCAGAUGAGGUGACCUCAGAGCCAAGAGCAUCAUGGGGUAGAGUAUCUUGUUCCCAGUUUUAUGACCUAAAAAGUACACAGAAGAUGCAAAGAUACUACAGAGAGAAGGAACAAAGUCUGCAGAGAACAGGGAAAGGCGAUUACGUAUCAUAUUUUUUUAAAUAGGAUUUUGUUGUACAUGACCACAAAAGAAAACACAGCCUUUUAUACAUGUUUGAAGAGAGAGCUAGAGCUAUAGAUAGAAAAAUGAUAGAUAGAUUAAUAGAUAGAUGGUCAAUAGAUAGAUGAUCAAUAGAUAGAUAAGUAGGUAGGUAGAUAGAUGAUAGACAGAACCAAACACAAUAGAAGACCAAAAGGAGAAAAAGAUAGAGAUGAUAUUGCCUUCCUUUGUUUGCUAUUGAAACAAACUUAAUAAAUCCUCAUUGAGACUCAA